UGCAGAAUCCCGCGAACCAUCGAGUCUUUGAACGCAAGUUGCGCCCGAGGCCAUUCGGCCGAGGGCACGCCUGCCUGGGCGUCACGCAAAACACGCUCCCACCCCCUCAUCGGGGAGCGGGACGCGGCAUGUGGCCCCCCGUCGCGCAAGGGGCGGUGGGCCGAAGAUAUGGCUGCCGGCGUAUCGUGCUGGACACAGCGCGUGGUGGGCGACCUCGCUUUACUUCCGCAGUGCAUCCGGCGCGUAGCCGACAUGAUGGCCUUGAAGGACCCUAUGAACGGUGCGCACGACGCUCCGACCGCGACCCCAGGUCAGGCGGGACUACCCGCUGAAUUUAAGCAUAUAAAUAAGCGGAGGAGAAGAAACUUACAAGGAUUCCCCUAGUAACGGCGAGCGAACCGGGAACAGCCCAGCUUGAGAAUCGGGUGGCCGUGCUG
Molecule: ribosomal RNA, 437 nt
Filed under: Calamagrostis scotica
Lineage: Eukaryota; Viridiplantae; Streptophyta; Magnoliopsida; Poales; Poaceae
Description: eukaryotic LSU rRNA
Rfam family: Eukaryotic large subunit ribosomal RNA (bases 302-437)
Source: RNAcentral